CUUUUCCAACAAUCAUAACUCCCUGAGAAACACCACCGACUUAGAAAGAUCCUCACCAUUCUCCAGUAACACAUGAGGACAAAGACCAACACAAUCCAUCUCUUUCAUCAACUUCUCAGCCAUAUCCAAAAUCUCCCUUAUCUACAAACAACUCAGGAAACUUCCGCCAACGCCCACAAAGCCUCCUCAUCAGCGAGUCCCCGCUUGGUUACAAAGAGACAGAACGAUCAUCCUCAACACUAACAAAUCAUUCAUCUUUAUUGUAUCCUUCAACAACGUCCUUGAUCAGAUCUGGGUUUGCUUUAAUCUUGAGAAAGUCGCAAGCUUUGAUGUACAUGUAAGGACUGUGUCUGUGUCCGGAUUGAGUUCCGGCCCAUACGAAGAACCUAAGACCCAAUUGUGAUUGAUUUGAUAUCCCUGGAGAUGAAAGCUUUGUGGGUUGAGAAUUGGAACGAGGGAAAAAAACGACGACGGAUCAGGUGGAGUAGCAUCUCUCUAAAAUAUUUUCCCCAACGUCUCUCUAAAACCUAGAUCUAAUCCGCUCACCUCUUUGCUCCGGCGGUGGUGGUCCUUAGACCAUCGUCGGAGGCUCUUUUUGUCUUUUCCUUAUUUGCCUCAUCGACUCAUCCCUCCUUCUUCAGUCCUUGCCCUAGCUCUGGAUCUCGUUCGCCUCCUUAGCUCCCCUGUUUAAUCUCGUUAGAUAUGGAGGGAAUGACGUGUUCAGUAGUAGAUCUGGUGUGCCGGCGACGAUUGGUGUUAGGGUCUGUCGCUGGGGUCGGCUAUGUGGGUGGUCGGGAUUCUUCUUCCUUGCUGAAGCCCCUUCAGAUGAUUCGACGGUACCAUAGCGGAGGAGAGGUUAGGGCUCGGACCAGCUUCGACCCUGUUUUUCCGCUUGCUCGGAUCGCUGGUGGCUGUUGUCAGUUUUUUCCGGAUCUAGGGUUUCGACCUUGAGAAUGAUGGCGCGUGGAGUCCAGAAGAGGUUACAAUCCCAGCGGUUCUUCAUUGUCUCCCCUCCAGUUUAUUGUUGUAAGGUAUGUAUCUGUUGGCUGGGGUUAUUGUCUCAGUUCAUGGUCAUUCUUGUUCUUUUUGCUCUUGGAGAUCCUACUGCUGGUUCUCAGUUGUGGGUACGUGUGGGGUGGUUCUUCUCUCGGUGUUGUCGCCCGAGCUUAUGAGUUGCAUGUGGCAGCGUCUGGCGAGUUCUUGAGACUUCAUCCGCGUCUCAUUGGUGAGCUUCGUCUUCCAGAGUCGAGUUCUGGACUGUGGCAGCGUGUUGGUCUCUCUCUUUCACGCAAUAAAGGCGUCAUCUUUGGAAGUGUGGUCUCAGCGAAAGAGGUACAGUCUGGUGGGUGUGGGCUGGGGUUAGUUUGGUACUCGAUAUUCUUACUAGCUCGAAGGUCGUCUUUAUCGGAGGAAGUGUGCCUGAUAUGUCUCACUUCCCGUCUUGUGUGGUGGGUUAAAAGGGUGUACACGGUCCCGGGGUUAGGAGGGUUGGAGGCAGCAAUCUCCAAGUCACCUUCCCGAACGACGGCACCGCCUAUCAUUGGACUCCUCCUCGUGCAGCCGGUGAGGCGAUGUUGAACGGGUUUGAGGCUCCGUGAUGUGUUUCUUUUGGAUGGUGUUGAUGAUAGGGUCUCUCGGAAGCUGUAGGUAUGUCCACAGUGCUUCAAGGAUUGGGUCGCCUUUCUCUCCGGGAGCUCGCGGCAACCGAAAGCUCAGUCCGCUCACACCUCUUAUUUGGGCCGUCGACGCUGCGCUAACUUUGGUUCAUGUCUAGGACUUUUCUUCUUUGGUUUUGGAAUUACAUCUUUUUUAGAUGCUCUGUUUAGCAUAAGUUAGAUUUUCAUUUCUGCAAGUCUGCUACUAGUACUCUCCGUGUUUCUGUAAAAAAUGAAAAAUCUAUAUAUAUAAAGUAGUGUUCUCUUCUCUCCUGUGGUGCCACCUAGGAUCCAGUUCAGAAAGUCGCUGCUUGAGGAGACGACAUGUGUCCUUUUCAUCAAAACGCACAGCUUCAUUUAACUUAGAAUACAAUUGAUCUGGGCUUUGUGUAUGGGCUUACGGAAGCCCUAAACCGUAGUCUUCUCUCCUCUCCCUUCUUCCAAUCCAACCUCCCUCAGCUUCCGCCGUCUUCCUCCUCCACCUCCCAGAAAGUGAGGCCCGUUCCAGCCCCUCCGUCGCUUCCGCCGGCAGGUAACUUCGGCAGCUUGAAGGUUCGAGGGCGAUCGGAGGGAGCGGGUUGGGGUCUCUGCCGCACACGUUGACGGAGCCGGUGUGGGAUACAGUGAAGAGGGAUUUGUCGAUGAUCAUGAGUAAUCUGAAGCUGGUGGUGUUUCCAAAUCCGAAUAGGGAGGAUUUUGGGAAGGCGUUUAGGGAUUGGGAUCUGUGGGAACCGUUUUUCUUCAAGCCAGCCAAAUUGUCCUCGAGAACCUUGGUAUCAAGGCAGCCGAAUCGCCCUCAAGGUCCAAACCCCUCGAGGUCCAAACCCUGCUUUUUCAGAAAAUUUCCUCUGUUAAAUAUCUCUCAUACUCUUUGAUAAUGACUUCUUUCGCAGAUUCAUCUAUCUGAAUUGAAGUCGGGACAGUGCAGGUAGCGUGUUGAGGCAAGGCUUUUGCGUUUCUGGGAAUCCCGAAAGGAAGUGAUUUGAGGGAGAAAAGGAUGCGAAUUUUCCUCAAGAAGGUGUGGUCUGUGGUGGAGCUUUGUCGUACAAAAGUUUCAAUCUACAAGGUUCCAUGAGAGUUCAUCAUCACAACCCCAAUUCUAGACCGCUUGAAGGUCUUCCCUACAGCUUAAACAUGUAAUCACAACAUGCCAUUGACUGAGCAACAUAAAGGAGAAAGAGAGAAUAACUCAGUGAGUUAUGAUCAUGAACCAAGUUUUAGUGAGGAAGGUGGUGAUGGUCACAACGAAUCCAUUAGCUAAAAAGUUUCCAUGGCAGUGAUGAAGUUGACUGAUAAGAUGUUGAAGUUGCAGAUAACCGACGUGCCUUAUAUAGGUGAUGAUUUGAGUAUGGAUGGUGGUAGUAGAAGAAAGUUUGCGGCUUUACAGAGAAAGAUCAAAUGGAAAUUUGUUUCUGAAGUUCUGUUUGAGAGAGGUUAUCAUGUCUCGCCUCAGCUGUCUGAGGAUAAGUUUAAUGAUUUGAAUAAGCGGUUUAAGAAGCUUAAUGAGAAUAGAUUUAAUAUGCAUCAUGACCUUGCUC
Molecule: long non-coding RNA, 3193 nt
Organism: Brassica napus (rape)
Lineage: Eukaryota; Viridiplantae; Streptophyta; Magnoliopsida; Brassicales; Brassicaceae
Exons: 2
Source: RefSeq, a predicted model, not a curated record